ACUCAAAUGAAUAGACGGGGGCCCGCACAAGCGGUGGAGCAUGUGGUUUAAUUCGACGCAACGCGAAGAACCUUACCAAGGUUUGACAUCCCUCUGCCCGGCGCAGAGAUGCGUCUUUAUCUUCGGAUACAGAGGAGACAGGUGGUGCAUGGUUGUCGUCAGCUCGUGUCGUGAGAUGUUGGGUUAAGUCCCGCAACGAGCGCAACCCUUAUGUUUAGUAGCCAGCGGGUUAAGCCGGGCACACUAAAGAGACUGCCGUGGACAACACGGAGGAAGGUGGGGAUGACGUCAAAUCAUCAUGCCCCUUAUAUCUUGGGCUACACACGUGCUACAAUGGCUCAAACAAAGUGACGCGAAGCUGUGAAGCGGAGCAAAUCACGAAAAAGAGUCUCAGUUCGGAUUGCAGGCUGCAACUCGCCUGUAUGAAGUUGGAAUCGCUAGUAAUCGCGAAUCAGCAUGUCGCGGUGAAUACGUUCCCGGGCCUUGUACACACCGCCCGU
Molecule: ribosomal RNA, 500 nt
Filed under: uncultured bacterium
Lineage: Bacteria
Description: bacterial SSU rRNA
Rfam family: Bacterial small subunit ribosomal RNA
Source: RNAcentral